This 75-nucleotide transfer RNA is filed under the name Nitrospirota bacterium. Its description in RNAcentral is "Nitrospirae bacterium (marine sediment metagenome) tRNA-Glu". It matches the Rfam family "tRNA". Rfam says of the family: Transfer RNA (tRNA) molecules are approximately 80 nucleotides in length. RNAcentral also lists the same sequence under 1 other name. The record is from RNAcentral. Lineage: Bacteria; Pseudomonadati; Nitrospirota.
GGCGCCAUCGUCUAGGGGUUAGGACGCCGCCCUCUCACGGCGGAAACAGGGGUUCGAUUCCCCUUGGCGCUACCA